RNAcentral lists this ribosomal RNA (439 nucleotides) under uncultured bacterium. RNAcentral describes it as "partial 16S ribosomal RNA". It matches the Rfam family "Bacterial small subunit ribosomal RNA", at positions 338 to 795 of the family's 1533-position model. The record is from RNAcentral.
CCUACGGGUGGCAGCAGUAGGGAAUAUUGCUCAAUGGGGGAAACCCUGAAGCAGCAACGCCGCGUGGAGGAUGAAGGUUUUCGGAUUGUAAACUCCUUUUGUUAGAGAAGAUAAUGAAGGUAUCUAACGAAUAAGCACCGGCUAACUCCGAGCCAGCAGCCGCGGUAAUACGGGGGUAGCGAGCGUUAUCCGGAUUUAUUGGGUUAAAUGGGUGUGGAGGCGGAGGUGAAAGUCAGCGGUCAACUUGCGGGGCUCAACCCCGUACUGCCGUUGAAACUGCAUACCUUGAGUGCGCGAGAGGUAUGCGGAAUGCGUGGUGUAGCGGUGAAAUGCAUAGAUAUCACGCAGAACUCCGAUUGCGAAGGCAGCAUACCGGCGCGCAACUGACGCUGAUGCACGAAAGCGUGGGUAUCGAACAGGAUUAGAUACCCCAGUAGUC